AAUGACUUGCUUCCACCAUGAUUUUGCAUGUUAUGAGCUAGUUGAUGAUGCUGCUCUUGGAAAUGCCAUCUCUUCUGCUGAUGAGACAGUAGGUGCUUGACAAAGACAGGCUGAUGUUGAUGUUACCUUUGAAGCAUUUCCUUUGCCGACCAGACGCUCGUUGAACUUUCUUCAACUGGGAGUAAAGAAACUGUUGGGAGAGACAUGAGAAAGUGCUUGAACUGCUGAGAAUUUCCAGCAUUUUCUGUUCAUGUUUCAGAUCCACCGUGUUCACACAGUAUUUUGCCUCUGAAGUCAUCUUGUUUGGCUAUUAGUGAACAGAACAGCAGUGGAUUCUGGUUUGUUCCCACAAAACUGAUGGAGGCAGGGUGUCAGCCAAGACCCAAAUGAAUCAUGAAUAUUCCAGUACAAGAGCAAAUGAACAGUAGCUCAUGAGAGAGGUCUUCAAGCAUCUGACAAGGAAAAUGAAAACUCAGAAUUUUGGCUUUGGAAUUAUACCAGUGAAUGAUCCCUUAAAAACUGUAACCUUUUCUUUAUAUCAUUUCAUAACAGAUUUCCAGUGGUGAGGAAGGCACGUAGCAUGUGUGCCUUAAUUGCAAAGGCAUUAAGUACAAGGUUUAAUAUCAAGUUAUAGUCAUACAGAACGGUGGUUAGGCUCUACUUGGAAUGUUGUGUGCAGUUCUAAUUGCUACACUAUAGGAAGGAUGUGAUUAAGCUAGAGAGGGCAUAAAAAGGAUUCACAGGGAAUUUGCCGGGAAUGGCGGACUUGAGUUAUAAGGAGAGUUUGGGUAGGCUGUAUCUUUUUUUCCCCUGAAGUGAAAGAAGCUGAGAGGUGAUGUAAUUGAGGAAUAUAAAAUUAUGGGUGGCAUGAAUAGGGGAGAUGGCCUGCAUCUUUCUCCCAUUAGUAGGAAUUAAUAAGUUUAUUGUUAUGCAUAUAAGUGAACUUCUUGUUCGCAUGAAGCUUACAGCUUAAAUAGUAAGACCUUUAGACCAUAAGACAUAGCAGAAUUAAGCCAUUUGGCCCAUUGAGCCUGCACCACUGUCCCAUCAAUAAUGACUGAUCUAUUAUCCCUCUCAACCCCAUUUUAACACCCUGACUAAUCAAGAACCUAUUAACCACUUUAAAUAUACUCAAUGACCUAGCCUCCACAGGUAUCUGUGGCAAUGAAUUCUACAGAUUCACCACCCCCUGUCUAAAAAAAAAUCCUCUUAAUCUCUGUUUUAAAUUGAUGUCCUUUUAUUCUAAGGCUCUUCUGGUCGUGCACUAUAGGAGACAUCCUUUCCUGCUGUCAAGGCCUUUCAAUAUUUGAUUGGUUUCAAUGAGACACCCCCCCCCCCCACCAUUCUUCUAAACUCCAGUGAGCUCAGGCCCUGUAUGCAUGGUAAUGAUAAAUACAAAAAUAAUUACAAAGAGAACAAAAUAGCAGAAUGUGGUGCAGUCUGAAUUUGUGUAAAAACAGAAUGUUUAAGUAAGAAGCUUCCUUAGGUUUGGACUUCCAGGAGUUGAAGAUCCUUCAUGUUUUUCCAGAAGGCAGACAAAAUAAAAGGGAAUGGCCAAGAUGGCAAGCAUCCCUUAUCAAUACACCAGCCUACCGGAUGGACUGAAUGAAAGGAAAUGAUAUCCUCAUAUCCAAGAUGGUGGCGUGAUGCAGCUUGCAACGGCCACUCCGGAGCUGAUUAUCUGUUACUUGUGAAACAGGGUGCCGUGUGCAAUCAUAAUCGGAUGAAAAACGGACAUGGGAGCAUGGAGGAACAUCUGGGACAUCUGGAAAUCUCCAGGAAGAUCUUCUUCGUUGCUGCUGCUGCUAUGAGGUCCGGGUCUCUGCUGGGAAGAACAGGCCCCUAGUCCUUGGGGUUGCAUUGCCAUUGGCUGUUGGCGGGGGCGUCUUAAUACGCUCAGCAGAGGAUGGUGCUUGGAGAAGCUGUGCCGGAGGGGAUGGUCGGAGGCUUGGAGGUUCAAAGGACUCGGAGUCCGCUGUGGUCGGAGCGCUUUCACUGAGUGCUGUGUCUGUGAGGCUGGGUUUGAUGGAGCUUUCAUUGUGUGCUGUGUCUGCGAGGCGGAGUCAGGCCGCGCUGUGGAAGUUCAUAGCGGGGGUAUUCCCUUCUGCCGCCGGCGUGGGAUGACGAGUCUAUUGGGACCCUGAGGACUUGUGGAAACUGUCUGGUGAUUUCUUUUGAACUUAUGAUCUUUUAACAUCUUUGGACUAUUUUUACUGUGCCCAUGGUCUGUUUUUUUUAAUCAAUUAUGCAAUUGUUAGCACUGUUGUAAUUAUAUGUUGUAACUAUGGUUUUGUGCAGGUCUUGUAGCUUUAGUUUUUGGUCUUGUUUUGUCUGGUGGGAUUGGAGCUCCUUUCCGGGGAACGCACUGAGACGGUAGCGUGAUAUUAAUAUGCAGCAGCCUCUCCAGACUCUGUUUUGGGGAUUGCCAAACAUUAUGCGGAUUUUCUGGCCUAGUCUGUUUUGUCGUGUGCUUUUGUGAUAUCAUUCUGGGGGAACAUUGUCUCAUUUUUUAACUGCAUUGCAUUUGUGGUUUCUAAAUGACAACAAACUGAAUCUGAAUCUGAAUGACGAGCCUGUGAUGGACUGAAAUGUGUGCUUACCACUCUCUGCAGGUUCAGAUGGCAAACAGAGCAGAGCAGUUACCUUAGCAGGUUGUAAUGCAACCCCUCAGAAUUAUUUCUGUUGCACGAGUGUAGAAAUUUGAGAGAGCCCUUGCAGACACGCUCAGUCUUCUCAGAUGCCUGAGAUGUGAUAAUCACCCUUCUUGAUCACUGAUCUUGAACAAUGUUCUGACACAUAGGCACAACGUUUUCAAUUUCUUUUCUGGACUCCAUCUCAUCAUUAUUGUUGAUGCAUCUGAUAACAGUGGCAUCAUCUGUGAACUUAAAGGUUGAGCUGUGUUAUACCUGACGUUCACAGUCACAGAUAUAGAGGGAGUAGAGCUGAGAACUGGGCUCACAACCCUGAGGUGUUCUAGUGUUGAAGGACAGGGAGGAUGAAGUAUUAUGGUCAAUUCUAACUGACUGGGGUCCACCAGUCAGGAACUUUAUCUGGAAGACAAGUGCUGGUGAGGGCCUUUACUAGUCUUUCAAAGCACUUCAUUGUUGCUCUAUGUUAGAGCUACUGGUCAUUGAGACAAGACACCUUUCAUGGGGAAUGAAAUUAAAUGUUCGGUUGAACCAGAUGGCGAUGGUUGACUGGUGAAGUGAGAGAUUGAAGAGGUCAGCAAAGACAGUGACCAGAUGACUGGAGCCUGUGCAUGUCAACAAGCAAAGGGGAGGUGGGUGAAUGGAUUAAGACAUCGAUGGAAAAUCAUUGGUUGAGUUUACACUCAGAAGGUCAAAGACAAGAGCCUUUAGGAGUAUCCCCAAAUAGAGCAUAGCAUUAAUUUUACUCAGCUCUGCAUAGAUCUGAGCUGAGGCUGGGGCCUGCUCCAGCUGCACCAGGCUUUGUGUCUAUGGACUCAUUUUGUUCUGAAUGCUAUUUGCUUACUUUUAUUAUUUGCACGAUUUGUUUUUUUUUGGUUUGAUGGUGUCCUUGUGGGUUCUUUUGCGUUUGCCUGUAAGGAGCUGAAUCUCAAUGUUGUAUA
This is a long non-coding RNA of Hypanus sabinus (Atlantic stingray), 3589 nucleotides long. RefSeq lists it as uncharacterized. The transcript has 3 exons. NCBI's taxonomy places the organism in Eukaryota, Metazoa, Chordata, Chondrichthyes, Myliobatiformes, Dasyatidae. The record is from RefSeq and is a predicted model, not a curated record.